CAGAUCAGAACCGUAAAUAACUGCCAAAGAAGAGGACCCUUCUCUCUUCUCUGCAGUUACUUCAUUUUACAGUAUCAGGAAAUCUCAUCAUAGAACUCCCAUCCAACUGGAGUAAUUCAUCAAGGAUUUUUGAUGGCAGCUCUGAGAGUUUCCGAAGUUACUGUAGAAAUCCUGUCGCUCCUUUUAAUGUAAGUGUCUUUGCUUUCCUUCAGAGUAAAAUUGAUGACAUGUGUCCUUCUUUGCAUCUUGGCUUUCUUAUUUAUGAUUAAGGAGGCUUAUGGCAGAAUCAACAGCGCUGGAAUCAUUUGAUAAUUUACAUAAACACUCUCUCUGAUCGUUAUCGGCAUUCUCGCUACACCUGGAUGGGGACCCUCCUUAGGUUUUCUUCCAUAUUUGGAAAAACAUAAGCUGAUUUAGGUGACCACUAGGGAGAGUGGACUAGGAUGAACAUUGUCUUGAAAUUGUCGUGCGAGAAAUGUCAAAGCUUCGGAGCGCCUGAGUGGCUCAGUCGGUUAAGCGUCCGACUUUGGCUCAGGUCAUGAUCUCAUAGUUUGUGGGUUUGAGCCCCGCUCAGGCUCUGUGCUGAUAGCUCAGAGCCCGGGACCUACUUGGAUUCUGUGUUUCCCUCUCUCUCUGCCCCUCCCCUACUUGCGCUCUGUCUCUUUGUCUCUCUCAAAAAUAAGUAAACAU
This 690-nucleotide long non-coding RNA is filed under the name Felis catus (domestic cat). Its description in RNAcentral is "lncRNA (ENSFCAG00000044573.2)". Lineage: Eukaryota; Metazoa; Chordata; Mammalia; Carnivora; Felidae. The record is from RNAcentral.